CAGGCUUAACACAUGCAAGUCGAGGGGCAGCAUGGUCUUAGCUUGCUAAGGCCGAUGGCGACCGGCGCACGGGUGAGUAACACGUAUCCAACCUGCCGUCUACUCUUGGACAGCCUUCUGAAAGGAAGAUUAAUACAAGAUGGCAUCAUGAGUCCGCAUGUUCACAUGAUUAAAGGUAUUCCGGUAGACGAUGGGGAUGCGUUCCAUUAGAUAGUAGGCGGGGUAACGGCCCACCUAGUCUUCGAUGGAUAGGGGUUCUGAGAGGAAGGUCCCCCACAUUGGAACUGAGACACGGUCCAAACUCCUACGGGAGGCAGCAGUGAGGAAUAUUGGUCAAUGGGCGCAGGCCUGAACCAGCCAAGUAGCGUGAAGGAUGACUGCCCUAUGGGUUGUAAACUUCUUUUAUAAAGGAAUAAAGUCGGGUAUGGAUACCCGUUUGCAUGUACUUUAUGAAUAAGGAUCGGCUAACUCCGUGCCAGCAGCCGCGGUAAUACGGAGGAUCCGAGCGUUAUCCGGAUUUAUUGGGUUUAAAGGGAGCGUAGAUGGAUGUUUAAGUCAGUUGUGAAAGUUUGCGGCUCAACCGUAAAAUUGCGGUUGAUACUGGAUAUCUUGAGUGCAGUUGAGGCAGGCGGAAUUCGUGGUGUAGCGGUGAAAUGCUUAGAUAUCACGAAGAACUCCGAUUGCGAAGGCAGCCUGCUAAGCUGCAACUGACAUUGAGGCUCGAAAGUGUGGGUAUCAAACAGGAUUAGAUACCCUGGUAGUCCACACGGUAAACGAUGAAUACUCGCUGUUUGCGAUAUACUGCAAGCGGCCAAGCGAAAGCGUUAAGUAUUCCACCUGGGGAGUACGCCGGCAACGGUGAAACUCAAAGGAAUUGACGGGGGCCCGCACAAGCGGAGGAACAUGUGGUUUAAUUCGAUGAUACGCGAGGAACCUUACCCGGGCUUAAAUUGCAGAUGAAUUACGGUGAAAGCCGUAAGCCGCAAGGCAUCUGUGAAGGUGCUGCAUGGUUGUCGUCAGCUCGUGCCGUGAGGUGUCGGCUUAAGUGCCAUAACGAGCGCAACCCUUGUUGUCAGUUACUAACAGGUUCCGCUGAGGACUCUGACAAGACUGCCAUCGUAAGAUGUGAGGAAGGUGGGGAUGACGUCAAAUCAGCACGGCCCUUACGUCCGGGGCUACACACGUGUUACAAUGGGGGGUACAGAGGGCCGCUACCACGCGAGUGGAUGCCAAUCCCAAAAACCUCUCUCAGUUCGGACUGGAGUCUGCAACCCGACUCCACGAAGCUGGAUUCGCUAGUAAUCGCGCAUCAGCCACGGCGCGGUGAAUACGUUCCCGGGCCUUGUACACACCGCCCGUCAAGCCAUGGGAGCCGGGGGUACCUGAAGUGCGUAACCGCGAGGAGCGCCCUAGGGUAAAACUGGUGACUGGGGCUAAG
RNAcentral lists this ribosomal RNA (1438 nucleotides) under uncultured organism. RNAcentral's name for it is "16S ribosomal RNA". It matches the Rfam family "Bacterial small subunit ribosomal RNA". The record is from RNAcentral.